UACGUAGGGUGCAAGCGUUAAUCGGAAUUACUGGGCGUAAAGCGUGCGCAGGCGGUUUUGUAAGUUUGUCGUGAAAUCCCCGGGCUCAACCUGGGAAUGGCGAUGAAGACUGCAAGGCUAGAAUCUGGCAGAGGGGGGUAGAAUUCCACGUGUAGCAGUGAAAUGCGUAGAUAUGUGGAGGAACACCAAUGGCGAAGGCAGCCCCCUGGGUCAACACUGACGCUCAUGCACGAAAGCGUGGGGAGCAAACAGG
RNAcentral lists this ribosomal RNA (253 nucleotides) under uncultured bacterium. RNAcentral describes it as "partial 16S ribosomal RNA". It matches the Rfam family "Bacterial small subunit ribosomal RNA", at positions 524 to 776 of the family's 1533-position model. The record is from RNAcentral.